This 791-nucleotide ribosomal RNA is filed under the name Actinomycetales bacterium JB111. RNAcentral describes it as "bacterial SSU rRNA". It matches the Rfam family "Bacterial small subunit ribosomal RNA", at positions 78 to 878 of the family's 1533-position model. The record is from RNAcentral. Lineage: Bacteria; Bacillati; Actinomycetota; Actinomycetes; Actinomycetales.
UUGCACCGGGUGGAUGAGUGGCGAACGGGUGAGUAACACGUGAGUAACCUGCCCUUCACUUCGGGAUAACCUCGGGAAACGGGGGCUAAUACCGGAUAUGACGCGUCCUCGCAUGGGGGUGUGUGUAAAGAUUUAUCGGUGGAGGAUGGGCUCGCGGCCUAUCAGCUUGUUGGUGGGGUGAAGGCCUACCAAGGCUUCGACGGGUAGCCGGCCUGAGAGGGUGACCGGCCACACUGGGACUGAGAUACGGCCCAGACUCCUACGGGAGGCAGCAGUGGGGAAUAUUGCACAAUGGGCGAAAGCCUGAUGCAGCGACGCCGCGUGAGGGAUGACGGCCUUCGGGUUGUAAACCUCUUUCAGUAGGGAAGAAGCCUUCGGGUGACGGUACCUGCAGAAGAAGCGCCGGCUAACUACGUGCCAGCAGCCGCGGUAAUACGUAGGGCGCAAGCGUUGUCCGGAAUUAUUGGGCGUAAAGAGCUCGUAGGCGGUUUGUCGCGUCUGCUGUGAAAACGCGGGGCUUAACUCCGCGCCUGCAGUGGGUACGGGCAGACUAGAGUGCGGUAGGGGAGACUGGAAUUCCUGGUGUAGCGGUAAAAUGCGCAGAUAUCAGGAGGAACACCGGUGGCGAAGGCGGGUCUCUGGGCCGUUACUGACGCUGAGGAGCGAAAGCAUGGGUAGCGAACAGGAUUAGAUACCCUGGUAGUCCAUGCCGUAAACGUUGGGCACUAGGUGUGGGGCCUGUUUCCACGGGUUCCGUGCCGUAGCUAACGCAAUAAGUGCCCCGCCUGGGG